Sorghum bicolor (sorghum) is the source of this 1204-nucleotide long non-coding RNA. RefSeq lists it as uncharacterized. Lineage: Eukaryota; Viridiplantae; Streptophyta; Magnoliopsida; Poales; Poaceae. The transcript has 2 exons. The record is from RefSeq and is a predicted model, not a curated record.
UACAUAUGUAUAAGGUGAUAUUCUGUGGUAUUUUCAAAGAUUUGAGCCCAAAAAAGGAAAUCAAACGACCAUUAGGCCUGCCUUCAAACACCUCCCAAUCCUAGGCCGGCCCAACCAGCCCAUUAACCUGCAUCCACCUCAAUUCCUUUCAUCUGCUGGACACCGACGCCCACUCUUCCGUAGUUCCGUCCUUCGGCACGGUCGGUCUUGCUCGGCGCGCGGCGGCCGGCAACCCUAGGCACGCGCGGGCGGCGGCCGGUCACCGGUGGCGACUGGCGAGUGGCGAGGCGAGGAGGCGAGGCGGCGUCCAGCCUCCAACGGCUCUCGCGGCACGCGCGGCCAGGCCAAGCGCAAGGCUGCAGCGGCGCAGGCGCGCAGCCGGUGGCUGAGUGCAUCUGGACAGGACAGCGACGCCGCAGCACACAGCACAGUGAGCCAGUGAUAUUGCUAUUGGUUUGCAAAAUGAGGAACAAAAAGAAAUCGGUUGAUUUGAAGACUCUAUGGGAUAGAGCAGCAAAAUCAAGGAAGGUGGAGUUAGGAUCUACAUCAGUGCCACAACUAGUUACAGAGGGGAUUAAUGCUCAGCCUCAAAAUCCUAUUGUUGAAUCUGUUGUGCCGGCGACUGAUGAGAGUUAAGUUCAUAAUCAAACCAAUCCAUCCGUUCAGCAUGAUACAACAACCAGAGAAGUGGCAAUAACUGAGGUAGAAACUAAUCGGAUGUCACCUGAGAUAGGAAGCAAUGAGCUUGACAUUGACAUAGCAGCCACAAAACCUUCUAAUUUAUCCCCUAUCAGGGAUGGUGAUGACGGCUAUGAAUAAAGUGAUAAUAUUAUUUAUGAUGUUGAUCUUCUUCCUCAUGACCCCGGAAAGAGGCUUCCAAUCAAAAGCUAUAAUGUCAAUGAAAGAAAUUCAGUGAUCAGGGGAUUCAUGCAUAAUUUAGUGCCGAUUCGCUGAACAAUUUAUUAUUGGAUUGUUCUUGUGACUUCAGUUAUCGAUGGAAAUACCCAAGUUUUGAUUCCUGGCUCCGCCACUGGACCAUAUACGUACCAAUUAUCUAUAGGAUGAAAACAGGGUCUUAAUAGACCACCAUUACGACACACUUUUUACCAGUUAUAUGCUUGUCUAGCAAGCAAGUCUAUCAUUUGAUUGUUUGAUCUCCUGAUUCUUUGAAUAGAUGAUGUUGUACCCCUGCAAUUGGAGUCAA